GUUUGCAAGGUGGCAAGUUUUAUUUGCUUCAUUUAAUUUUGAAAUACAAUAUUUAAAGGGAUCUGAUAAUAGUCUUCCUAAUUUUCUCACUAAAAAAUAUUUAAAUUGAUAAUUUUUUUCUUAUACAAGAUGAAGUCACAAUUUUCAACCCCCUUUAAUAGAGGAAGGAGAAGAGGAAGAACAGAAAUGGAUCGAGACAAUGUCCUAGUCCAAAUAGAAA
Molecule: long non-coding RNA, 220 nt
Filed under: Capsicum annuum
Lineage: Eukaryota; Viridiplantae; Streptophyta; Magnoliopsida; Solanales; Solanaceae
Description: long non-coding RNA (CANN_LNC008114)
Source: RNAcentral